This 280-nucleotide ribosomal RNA is filed under the name uncultured bacterium. RNAcentral's name for it is "partial 16S ribosomal RNA". It matches the Rfam family "Bacterial small subunit ribosomal RNA", at positions 333 to 629 of the family's 1533-position model. The record is from RNAcentral.
CUUUCCCUACGGGACGCAGCAGUGGGGGAUAUUGCACAAUGGGGGGAACCCUGAUGCAGCGACGCCGCGUGGGUGAAGAAGUAUUUCGGUAUGUAAAGCCCUAUCGGCAGGGAAGAAUUUAGACGGUACCUGACUAAGAAGCCCCGGCUAACUACGAGCCAGCAGCCGCGGUAAUACGUAGCGGGCGAGCGUUAUCCGGAUUCACUGGGUGUAAAGGGAGCGUAGACGGCCAUGCAAGCCAGGGGUGAAAGCCCGGGGCCCAACCCCCGGACCGCCCUUG